RNAcentral lists this ribosomal RNA (1149 nucleotides) under Bacillus pumilus. RNAcentral describes it as "bacterial SSU rRNA". It matches the Rfam family "Bacterial small subunit ribosomal RNA", at positions 8 to 1141 of the family's 1533-position model. The record is from RNAcentral. Lineage: Bacteria; Bacillati; Bacillota; Bacilli; Caryophanales; Bacillaceae.
AGAGUUUGAUCAUGGCUCAGGACGAACGCUGGCGGCGUGCCUAAUACAUGCAAGUCGAGCGGACAGAAGGGAGCUUGCUCCCGGAUGUUAGCGGCGGACGGGUGAGUAACACGUGGGUAACCUGCCUGUAAGACUGGGAUAACUCCGGGAAACCGGAGCUAAUACCGGAUAGUUCCUUGAACCGCAUGGUUCAAGGAUGAAAGACGGUUUCGGCUGUCACUUACAGAUGGACCCGCGGCGCAUUAGCUAGUUGGUGGGGUAAUGGCUCACCAAGGCGACGAUGCGUAGCCGACCUGAGAGGGUGAUCGGCCACACUGGGACUGAGACACGGCCCAGACUCCUACGGGAGGCAGCAGUAGGGAAUCUUCCGCAAUGGUCGAAAGUCUGACGGAGCAACGCCGCGUGAGUGAUGAAGGUUUUCGGAUCGUAAAGCUCUGUUGUUAGGGAAGAACAAGUGCGAGAGUAACUGCUCGCACCUUGACGGUACCUAACCAGAAAGCCACGGCUAACUACGUGCCAGCAGCCGCGGUAAUACGUAGGUGGCAAGCGUUGUCCGGAAUUAUUGGGCGUAAAGGGCUCGCAGGCGAUUACUUAAGUCUGAUGUGAAAGCCCCCGGCUCAACCGGGAGGGUCAUUGGAAACUGGGAAACUUGAGUGCAGAAGAGGAGAGUGGAAUUCCACGUGUAGCGGUGAAAUGCGUAGAGAUGUGGAGGAACACCAGUGGCGAAGGCGACUCUCUGGUCUGUAACUGACGCUGAGGAGCGAAAGCGUGGGGAGCGAACAGGAUUAGAUACCCUGGUAGUCCACGCCGUAAACGAUGAGUGCUAAGUGUUAGGGGGGUUUCCGCCCCUUAGUGCUGCAGCUAACGCAUUAAGCACUCCGCCUGGGGAGUACGGUCGCAAGACUGAAACUCAAAGGAAUUGACGGGGGCCCGCACAAGCGGUGGAGCAUGUGGUUUAAUUCGAAGCAACGCGAAGAACCYUACCAGGUCUUGACAUCCUCUGACAACCCUAGAGAUAGGGCUUUCCCUUCGGGGGCAGAGUGACAGGUGGUGCAUGGUUGUCGUCAGCUCGUGUCGUGAGAUGUUGGGUUAAGUCCCGCAACGAGCGCAACCCUUGAUCUUAGUUGCCAGCAUUCAGUUGGGCACUCU